Molecule: non-coding RNA, 154 nt
Filed under: Nicotiana sylvestris (wood tobacco)
Lineage: Eukaryota; Viridiplantae; Streptophyta; Magnoliopsida; Solanales; Solanaceae
Description: Bacterial small subunit ribosomal RNA
Rfam family: Bacterial small subunit ribosomal RNA
Source: Rfam by way of RNAcentral
GCGAUCCCACGAGGGUGAGCUAACCCCAAAAAAGGGUCGCGAUCCCACGAGGGUGAGCUAACCCCAAAAACCCGUCCUCAGUUCGGAUUGCAGGCUGCAACUCGCCUGCAUGAAGCCGGAAUCGCUAGUAAUCGCCGGUCAGCCGUACAACGGU